RNAcentral lists this ribosomal RNA (468 nucleotides) under uncultured bacterium. RNAcentral describes it as "partial 16S ribosomal RNA". It matches the Rfam family "Bacterial small subunit ribosomal RNA", at positions 28 to 507 of the family's 1533-position model. The record is from RNAcentral.
GACGAACGCUGGCGGCGUGCUUAACACAUGCAAGUCGAACGGAAAGGCCCUGCUUUUGUGGGGUGCUCGAGUGGCGAACGGGUGAGUAACACGUGAGUAACCUGCCCUUGACUUUGGGAUAACUUCAGGAAACUGGGGCUAAUACCGGAUAGGAGCCCCUGCUGCAGGGGGGGGUUGGAAAGUUUUCGGCGGUUGGGGAUGGACUCGCGGUUUAUCAGCUUGUUGGUGGGGUAGUGGCUUCCAAAGGCUUUGACGGGUAGCCGGCCUGAGAGGGUGACCGGCCACAUUGGGACUGAGAUACGGCCCAGACUCCUACGGGAGGCAGCAGUGGGGAAUAUUGCACAAUGGGCGGAAGCCUGAUGCAGCAACGCCGCGUGCGGGAUGACGGCCUUCGGGUUGUAAACCGCUUUCGCCUGUGACGAAGCGUGAGUGACGGUAAUGGGUAAAGAAGCACCGGCUAACUACGUG